CCUACGGGAGGCAGCAGUGAGGAAUAUUGGUCAAUGGACGAGAGUCUGAACCAGCCAAGUCGCGUGAAGGAUGACUGCCCUAAGCGUUGUAAACUUCUUUUAUCUGGGAAUAAAAUGUUCCACGUGUGGGAGUUUGUAUGUACCAUAUGAAAAAGCAUCGGCUAACUCCGUGCCAGCAGCCGCGGUAAUACGGAGGAUCCGAGCGUUAUCCGGAUUUAUUGGGUUUAAAGGGAGCGUAGGUGGAUUGUUAAGUCAGUUGUGAAAGUUUGCGGCUCAACCGUAAAAGUGCAGUUGAAACUGGCAGUCUUGAGUACAGUAGAGGUGGGCGGAAUGCGUGGUGUAGCGGUGAAAUGCUUAGAUAUCACGCAGAACUCCGAUUGCGAAGGCAGCUCACUGGACUGCAACUGACACUGAGGCUCGAAAGUGUGGGUAUCAAACAGGAUUAGAUACCCGAGUAGUC
This 460-nucleotide ribosomal RNA is filed under the name uncultured bacterium. RNAcentral describes it as "partial 16S ribosomal RNA". It matches the Rfam family "Bacterial small subunit ribosomal RNA", at positions 338 to 795 of the family's 1533-position model. The record is from RNAcentral.